GUCUCGUAGGUGACCUGCGGAGGGAUCAUUACUGAGUUAGGGAGCAAUCCCGAACCUCCAACCCUUUGUGAACACAUCUUGUUGCUUCGGGGGCGACCCUGCCGCUUCGGCGGCAUUCCCCCCGGAGGUCAUCAAAACACUGCAUUCUUACGUCGGAGUAUAAAGUUAAUUUAAUAAAACUUUCAACAACGGAUCUCUUGGUUCUGGCAUCGAUGAAGAACGCAGCGAAAUGCGAUAAGUAAUGUGAAUUGCAGAAUUCAGUGAAUCAUCGAAUCUUUGAACGCACAUUGCGCCCCCUGGUAUUCCGGGGGGCAUGCCUGUUCGAGCGUCAUUUCACCACUCAAGCCUCGCUUGGUAUUGGGCGCCGCGAGUCUCUCGCGCGCCUCAAAGUCUCCGGCUAGGCGGUUCGUCUCCCAGCGUUGUGGCAACUAUUCGCAGAGGAGUUCGAGUCGUCGCGGCCGUUAAAUCUUUCAAAGGUUGACCUCGGAUCAGGUAGGGAUACCCGCUGAACUUAAGCAUAUCAAUAAGCGGACGAAAAKAAACCAACAGGGAUUGCCCUAUUAACGGCGAGUGAAGCGGCAACAKCUCAAAUUUGAAAUCUGGCGCAAGCCCGARUUGUAAUUUG
This 625-nucleotide ribosomal RNA is filed under the name Ramularia grevilleana. Its description in RNAcentral is "eukaryotic LSU rRNA". The record is from RNAcentral. Lineage: Eukaryota; Fungi; Ascomycota; Dothideomycetes; Mycosphaerellales; Mycosphaerellaceae.